CGUAGGUGAACCUGCGGAGGGAUCAUUACAAGUGACCCCGGUCUAACCACCGGGAUGUUCAUAACCCUUUGUUGUCCGACUCUGUUGCCUCCGGGGCGACCCUGCCUUCGGGCGGGGGCUCCGGGUGGACACUUCAAACUCUUGCGUAACUUUGCAGUCUGAGUAAACUUAAUUAAUAAAUUAAAACUUUUAACAACGGAUCUCUUGGUUCUGGCAUCGAUGAAGAACGCAGCGAAAUGCGAUAAGUAAUGUGAAUUGCAGAAUUCAGUGAAUCAUCGAAUCUUUGAACGCACAUUGCGCCCCCUGGUAUUCCGGGGGGCAUGCCUGUUCGAGCGUCAUUUCACCACUCAAGCCUCGCUUGGUAUUGGGCAACGCGGUCCGCCGCGUGCCUCAAAUCGACCGGCUGGGUCUUCUGUCCCCUAAGCGUUGUGGAAACUAUUCGCUAAAGGGUGUUCGGGAGGCUACGCCGUAAAACAACCCCAUUUCUAAGGUUGACCUCGGAUCAGGUAGGGAUACCCGCUGAACUUAAGCAUAUCAAUAAGCGGAGGA
RNAcentral lists this ribosomal RNA (549 nucleotides) under Cladosporium cladosporioides. RNAcentral's name for it is "eukaryotic LSU rRNA". The stretch from base 185 to 338 matches the Rfam family "5.8S ribosomal RNA". The record is from RNAcentral. Lineage: Eukaryota; Fungi; Ascomycota; Dothideomycetes; Cladosporiales; Cladosporiaceae.